RNAcentral lists this ribosomal RNA (253 nucleotides) under uncultured bacterium. RNAcentral describes it as "partial 16S ribosomal RNA". It matches the Rfam family "Bacterial small subunit ribosomal RNA", at positions 524 to 776 of the family's 1533-position model. The record is from RNAcentral.
UACAGAGGUCUCAAGCGUUGUUCGGAUUCAUUGGGCGUAAAGGGUGCGUAGGCGGCGCGGUAAGUCGGGUGUGAAAUCUUGGAGCUUAACUCCGAAACUGCAUUCGAUACUGCCGUGCUUGAGGACUGGAGAGGGGACUGGAAUUUACGGUGUAGCGGUGAAAUGCGUAGAUAUCGUAAGGAAGACCAGUGGCGAAGGCGGGUCUCUGGACAGUUCCUGACACUGAGACACGAAGGCCAGGGGAGCAAACGGG